RNAcentral lists this ribosomal RNA (1344 nucleotides) under uncultured bacterium. RNAcentral's name for it is "bacterial SSU rRNA". It matches the Rfam family "Bacterial small subunit ribosomal RNA", at positions 28 to 1381 of the family's 1533-position model. The record is from RNAcentral.
GAUGAACGCUGGCGGCGUGCUUAACACAUGCAAGUCGAACGAUGAAGCCCAGCUUGCUGGGUGGAUUAGUGGCGAACGGGUGAGUAACACGUGAGUAACCUGCCCUUAACUCUGGGAUAAGCCUGGGAAACUGGGUCUAAUACCGGAUAGGAGCGUCCACCGCAUGGUGGGUGUUGGAAAGAUUUAUCGGUUUUGGAUGGACUCGCGGCCUAUCAGCUUGUUGGUGAGGUAAUGGCUCACCAAGGCGACGACGGGUAGCCGGCCUGAGAGGGUGACCGGCCACACUGGGGCUGAGACACGGCCCAGACUCCUACGGGAGGCAGCAGUGGGGAAUAUUGCACAAUGGGCGCAAGCCUGAUGCAGCGACGCCGCGUGAGGGAUGACGGCCUUCGGGUUGUAAACCUCUUUCAGUAGGGAAGAAGCGAAAGUGACGGUACCUGCAGAAGAAGCACCGGCUAACUACGUGCCAGCAGCCGCGGUAAUACGUAGGGUGCGAGCGUUAUCCGGAAUUAUUGGGCGUAAAGAGCUCGUAGGGCGGUUUGUCGCGUCUGUCGUGAAAGUCCGGGGCUUAACCCCGGAUCUGCGGUGGGUACGGGCAGACUAGAGUGCAGUAGGGGAGACUGGAAUUCCUGGUGUAGCGGUGGAAUGCGCAAAUAUCAGGAGGAACACCGAUGGCGAAGGCAGGUCUCUGGGCUGUAACUGACGCUGAGGAGCGAAAGCAUGGGGAGCGAACAGGAUUAGAUACCCUGGUAGUCCAUGCCGUAAACGUUGGGCACUAGGUGUGGGGACCAUUCCACGGUUUCCGCGCCGCAGCUAACGCAUUAAGUGCCCCGCCUGGGGAGUACGGCCGCAAGGCUAAAACUCAAAGGAAUUGACGGGGGCCCGCACAAGCGGCGGAGCAUGCGGAUUAAUUCGAUGCAACGCGAAGAACCUUACCAAGGCUUGACAUGUUCUCGAUCGCCGUAGAGAUACGGUUUCCCCUUUGGGGCGGGUUCACAGGUGGUGCAUGGUUGUCGUCAGCUCGUGUCGUGAGAUGUUGGGUUAAGUCCCGCAACGAGCGCAACCCUCGUUCCAUGUUGCCAGCACGUAAUGGUGGGGACUCAUGGGAGACUGCCGGGGUCAACUCGGAGGAAGGUGAGGACGACGUCAAAUCAUCAUGCCCCUUAUGUCUUGGGCUUCACGCAUGCUACAAUGGCCGGUACAAUGGGUUGCGAUACUGUGAGGUGGAGCUAAUCCCAAAAAGCCGGUCUCAGUUCGGAUUGGGGUCUGCAACUCGACCCCAUGAAGUCGGAGUCGCUAGUAAUCGCAGAUCAGCAACGCUGCGGUGAAUACGUUCCCGGGCCU